UACGGAGGGGACUAGCGUUGUUCGGAAUUACUGGGCGUAAAGCGCACGUAGGCGGAUUUGUAAGUCAGGGGUGAAAUCCCGGGGCUCAACCUCGGAACUGCCUUUGAUACUGCAAAUCUCGAGUCCGGAAGAGGUGAGUGGAAUUCCUAGUGUAGAGGUGAAAUUCGUGGAUAUUAGGAAGAACACCAGUGGCGAAGGCGGCUCACUGGUCCGGUACUGACGCUGAGGUGCGAAAGCGUGGGGAGCAAACAGG
This 253-nucleotide ribosomal RNA is filed under the name uncultured bacterium. RNAcentral's name for it is "partial 16S ribosomal RNA". It matches the Rfam family "Bacterial small subunit ribosomal RNA", at positions 524 to 776 of the family's 1533-position model. The record is from RNAcentral.